GACGAACGCUGGCGGCGUGCUUAACACAUGCAAGUCGAACGGAAAGGCCCUGCUUUUGUGGGGUGCUCGAGUGGCGAACGGGUGAGUAACACGUGAGUAACCUGCCCUUGACUUUGGGAUAACUUCAGGAAACUGGGGCUAAUACCGGAUAGGAGCUCCUGCUGCAUGGUGGGGGUUGGAAAGUUUCGGCGGUUGGGGAUGGACUCGCGGCUUAUCAGCUUGUUGGUGGGGUAGUGGCUUACCAAGGCUUUGACGGGUAGCCGGCCUGAGAGGGUGACCGGCCACAUUGGGACUGAGAUACGGCCCAGACUCCUACGGGAGGCAGCAGUGGGGAAUAUUGCACAAUGGGCGGAAGCCUGAUGCAGCAACGUCGCGUGCGGGAUGACGGCCUUCGGGUUGUAAACCGCUUUCGCCUGUGACGAAGCGUGAGUGACGGUAAUGGGUAAAGAAGCACCGGCUAACUACGUG
This 468-nucleotide ribosomal RNA is filed under the name uncultured bacterium. RNAcentral describes it as "partial 16S ribosomal RNA". It matches the Rfam family "Bacterial small subunit ribosomal RNA", at positions 28 to 507 of the family's 1533-position model. The record is from RNAcentral.